This 497-nucleotide ribosomal RNA is filed under the name uncultured bacterium. Its description in RNAcentral is "partial 16S ribosomal RNA". It matches the Rfam family "Bacterial small subunit ribosomal RNA", at positions 28 to 507 of the family's 1533-position model. The record is from RNAcentral.
GAUGAACGCUGGCGGCGUGCCUAAUACAUGCAAGUCGAGCGAACGGACGAGAAGCUUGCUUCUCUGAUGUUAGCGGCGGACGGGUGAGUAACACGUGGAUAACCUACCUAUAAGACUGGGAUAACUUCGGGAAACCGGAGCUAAUACCGGAUAAUAUUUUGAACCGCAUGGUUCAAAAGUGAAAGACGGUCCUGCUGUCACUUAUAGAUGGAUCCGCGCUGCAUUAGCUAGUUGGUAAGGUAACGGCUUACCAAGGCAACGAUGCAUAGCCGACCUGAGAGGGUGAUCGGCCAAACUGGAACUGAGAAACGGUCCAGACUCCUACGGGAGGCAGCAGUAGGGAAUCUUCCGCAAUGGGCGAAAGCCUGACGGAGCAACGCCGCGUGAGUGAUGAAGGUCUUCGGAUCGUAAAACUCUGUUAUUAGGGAAGAACAUAUGUGUAAGUAACUGUGCACAUCUUGACGGUACCUAAUCAGAAAGCCACGGCUAACUACGUG